Molecule: ribosomal RNA, 460 nt
Filed under: uncultured bacterium
Lineage: Bacteria
Description: SSU rRNA
Rfam family: Bacterial small subunit ribosomal RNA
Source: RNAcentral
AGAAUCAACGCUGGCGGCGUGCCUAACACAUGCAAGUUGCACGAGAAAGGGACUUCGGUCCUGAGUAAAGUGGCGCACGGGUGAGUAACACGUGACUAAUCUACCCUCGAGUGGGGAAUAACCUAGGGAAACCUGGGCUAAUACCGCAUAACACUUACGAGUCAAAGCAGCAAUGCGCUUGGGGAGGAGGUCGCGGCAGAUUAGUUAGUUGGCGGGGUAAUGGCCCACCAAGACGAUGAUCUGUAUCCGGCCUGAGAGGGCGCACGGACACACUGGAACUGAAACACGGUCCAGACUCCUACGGGAGGCAGCAGUGGGGAAUUUUGCGCAAUGGGGGAAACCCUGACGCAGCAACGCCGCGUGGAGGAUGAAGUCUCUUGGGACGUAAACUCCUUUCGACAGGGACGAUAAUGACGGUACCUGUAGAAGAAGCCCCGGCUAACUUCGUGCCAGCAGCCGC